GAUGAAGAACGCAGCGAAAUGCGAUAAGUAAUGUGAAUUGCAGAAUUCAGUGAAUCAUCGAAUCUUUGAACGCACAUUGCGCCCCCUGGUAUUCCGGGGGGCAUGCCUGUCCGAGCGUCAUUACAACCCUCAAGCUCAGCUUGGUGUUGGGCCCCGCCGCCCCGGCGGGCCCUAAAGUCAGUGGCGGUGCCGUCCGGCUCCGAGCGUAGUAAUUCUUCUCGCUCUGGAGGUCCGGUCGUGUGCUCGCCAGCAACCCCCACUUUUUUUCAGGUUGACCUCGGAUCAGGUAGGGAUACCCGCUGAACUUAAGCAUAUCAAUAAGCGGAGGA
Molecule: unclassified non-coding RNA, 329 nt
Filed under: soil metagenome
Description: partial contains 5.8S ribosomal RNA, internal transcribed spacer 2, and large subunit ribosomal RNA
Rfam family: 5.8S ribosomal RNA (bases 1-120)
Source: RNAcentral